CCUACGGGUGGCAGCAGUGAGGAAUAUUGGUCAAUGGGCGGGAGCCUGAACCAGCCAAGCCGCGUGAGGGAAGAAGGUACAGCGUAUCGUAAACCUCUUUUGUCAGGGAACAAAGGCGGGGACUAGUCCCCGGAUGAGGGUACCUGAAGAAAAAGCAUCGGCUAACUCCGUGCCAGCAGCCGCGGUAAUACGGAAGGCCCGAGCGUUAUCCGGAUUCAUUGGGCUUAAAGGGAGCGUAGGCGGGCGUUCAAGUCAGCUGUAAAAUCGCGCGGCUCAACCGCGCCCCGCAGUUGAAACUGGACGCCUUGAGUUCACAACAGGCAGGCGGAAUUCGUGGUGUAGCGGUGAAAUGCAUAGAUAUCACGAGGAACCCCGAUUGCGAAGGCAGCCUGCCGGGGUGCGACUGACGCUGAGGCUCGAAGGUGCGGGUAUCAAACAGGAUUAGAUACCCGUGUAGUC
This 459-nucleotide ribosomal RNA is filed under the name uncultured bacterium. RNAcentral's name for it is "partial 16S ribosomal RNA". It matches the Rfam family "Bacterial small subunit ribosomal RNA", at positions 338 to 795 of the family's 1533-position model. The record is from RNAcentral.